AGCUCCAAGAGCGUAUAUUAAAGUUGUUGCAGUUAAAAAGCUCGUAGUUGAUCUUUGGGCUUGGCUGGCCGGUCCGUUUUUAACGAGUACUGGUUUUUUCAGCCGAGCCUUUCCUUCUGGUUAGCUCCUGUUAGGCUUGUCUUGGCAGGUAGUGAUCCAGGACUUUUACUUUGAAAAAAUUAGAGUGUUCAAAGCAAGCGUUUCGCUCGAAUAUAUUAGCAUGGAAUAAUGAAAUAGGACGUAUGGUUCUAUUUUGUUGGUUUCUAGGACCAUCGUAAUGAUUAAUAGGGACGGUCGGGGGCAUCAGUAUUCAGUUGUCAGAGGUGAAAUUCGUGGAUUUACUGAAGACUAACUACUGCGAAAGCAUUUGCCAAGGACGUUUUCA
This 385-nucleotide ribosomal RNA is filed under the name uncultured eukaryote. RNAcentral describes it as "SSU rRNA". It matches the Rfam family "Eukaryotic small subunit ribosomal RNA", at positions 587 to 972 of the family's 1831-position model. The record is from RNAcentral.